GAAGAUGCUAUAGAUGUUGUGGUUAAAGACAUCUUAAAUAAUAUUAUCGAAGAAGUUGUAAUGAAAACAACCAUCAAUUGUGUAGUUCAAGAUUCAGUUGAAGAAGAUAUAACUAUAGAAAGUACAAAUGAUUUUGAAAGUUCCAAGGCGGAUUAAACACCAUCGAUGGACGAUGUCACACUUGUUGGCGUCCUGGGGAAAGGGAGUUUUGGAAAAGUAAUAUAUAUUAUUAUUAAUAAUUAUUGUAUAAACAAGUAAUUCGUGUUUCAUUUGCUUU
Molecule: non-coding RNA, 277 nt
Organism: Cinara cedri
Lineage: Eukaryota; Metazoa; Arthropoda; Insecta; Hemiptera; Aphididae
Source: the annotation of a GenBank genome assembly